This 429-nucleotide ribosomal RNA is filed under the name uncultured bacterium. RNAcentral describes it as "bacterial SSU rRNA". It matches the Rfam family "Bacterial small subunit ribosomal RNA", at positions 355 to 776 of the family's 1533-position model. The record is from RNAcentral.
UGGGGAAUCUUGCGCAAUGGGCGAAAGCCUGACGCAGCAACGCCGCGUGAGGGAAGACGGCCUUAGGGUUGUAAACCUCUUUCAGUAGUGACGAGGGUUCCAGGGUUAAUAGCCCUGUGGAUUGACGGUAGCUACAGAAGAAGCCCCGGCUAACUACGUGCCAGCAGCCGCGGUAAUACGUAGGGGGCAAGCGUUGUCCGGAAUCAUUGGGCGUAAAGCGCGUGUAGGCGGCUCGAAAAGUCUGGUGUGAAAACUUUCGGCUCAACCGGAAGCUGUCACUGGAUACUGUCGGGCUUGAGUCCGGAAGAGGAGUGUGGAAUUCCUGGUGUAGCGGUGGAAUGCGCAGAUAUCAGGAGGAACACCAAUGGCGAAGGCAGCACUCUGGUACGUGACUGACGCUGAGACGCGAAAGCGUGGGGAGCAAACAGG